AUUGAACGCUGGCGGCAGGCCUAACACAUGCAAGUCGAGCGGAUGAAGGGAGCUUGCUUCUGGAUUCAGCGGCGGACGGGUGAGUAAUGCCUAGGAAUCUGCCUGGUAGUGGGGGAUAACGUCCGGUAACGGGCGCUAAUACCGCAUACGUCCUGAGGGAGAAAGUGGGGGAUCUUCGGACCUCACGCUAUCAGAUGAGCCUAGGUCGGAUUAGCUAGUUGGUGGGGUAAAGGCCUACCAAGGCGACGCUCCGUAACUGGUCUGAGAGGAUGAUCAGUCACACUGGAACUGAGACACGGGCCAGACUCCGACGGGAGGCAGCAGUGGGGAAUAUUGGACAAUUGGCGAAAGCCUGAUCCAGCCAUGCCGCGUGUGUGAAGAAGGGCUUCUGAUUGUAAAGCACUUUAAGUUGGGAGGAAGGGCAGUAAGUUAAAACCUUGCUGUUUUGACGUUACCAACAGAAUAAGCACCGGCUAACUUCGUG
Molecule: ribosomal RNA, 484 nt
Filed under: uncultured bacterium
Lineage: Bacteria
Description: partial 16S ribosomal RNA
Rfam family: Bacterial small subunit ribosomal RNA
Source: RNAcentral